Molecule: ribosomal RNA, 253 nt
Filed under: uncultured bacterium
Lineage: Bacteria
Description: partial 16S ribosomal RNA
Rfam family: Bacterial small subunit ribosomal RNA
Source: RNAcentral
UACGUAGGGGGCAAGCGUUAUCCGGAUUUACUGGGUGUAAGGGGAGCGUAGACGGCGAUGCAAGCCAGAUGUGAAAGCCCGGGGCUCAACCCCGGGACUGCAUUUGGAACUGUAUAGCUAGAGUGUCGGAGAGGCAGGCGGAAUUCCUAGUGUAGCGGUGAAAUGCGUAGAUAUUAGGAGGAACACCAGUGGCGAAGGCGGCCUGCUGGACGAUGACUGACGUUGAGGCUCGAAAGCGUGGGGAGCAAACAGG